Molecule: ribosomal RNA, 453 nt
Filed under: uncultured Gammaproteobacteria bacterium
Lineage: Bacteria; Pseudomonadati; Pseudomonadota; Gammaproteobacteria
Description: bacterial SSU rRNA
Rfam family: Bacterial small subunit ribosomal RNA
Source: RNAcentral
AACAUGCAGUCGAGCGGUACAGGUGUAGCAAUACAUGCUGACGAGCGGCGGACUAGUACGCUUGGGAAUCUGCCUGUUAGCGGGGUGACAACCCGGGUGAAACUCGUGGCUAAUACCGCAUACGCACUACGGUGGAAAGCCGGGGACCGCAAGGCCUGGCGCUAACAGAUGAGCCCAAGUCGGAUUAGCUAGUUGGUAGGGUAACGGCCUACCAAGGCGACGAUCCGUAACUGGUCUGAGAGGACGACCAGUCACACCGGAACUGAGACACGGUCCGGACUCCUACGGGAGGCAGCAGUGGGGAAUAUUGGACACUGGGGGAAACCCUGAUCCAGCGACGCCGCGUGGGUGAAGAAGGCCUGCGGGUUGUAAAGCCCUUUCAGUGGGGAAGAAAAGCCUCGAGCUAAUACCUCGGGGUCUUGACGUAACCCAUAGAAGAAACACCGGAUAAAA